Long non-coding RNA from Conger conger (European conger), 1286 nucleotides. RefSeq lists it as uncharacterized. The transcript has 3 exons. NCBI's taxonomy places the organism in Eukaryota, Metazoa, Chordata, Actinopteri, Anguilliformes, Congridae. The record is from RefSeq and is a predicted model, not a curated record.
AUGUGGGCUAGCCAACCCUGAAAUAAUAGCAACCUCAGAAUUAUGAUCACAUAUUGCCCAUACAGCCCGGUCCCCACAUCAACUGGGCAUUAUGGAUCCUACACUCUCUGCCUGGUGUGGGUAGAUGAAACCUGGUAGUCUAUUCAUAUGCACCUGCGGGGUAAAAGCCGAACGGAUGCCUUGGAAGGCUCACUUCCCCUAUUAGCGAGUCAGUGCAAGUCAACCGCUCAACCUCUGAAUCGACUGUCCGCCCUGAGCACAGGCGGAACAAAGUGUCAUCCCCGUCGACGCGCGGAGCUGCAGCAGACAGAUGAAAUGAUGCUCCUGCGGGUUUUAUCCGCGGGUUGAGCGCACGCAGGAAAGGGCCCGGAGGCGCAUGCGGUCCUUGCUGCUGAAUAAUCAGCGCCUGAUGCUUGCAGGCUCGUGAGCCUGUCAAGCGCAGCGACUUUCAAAAGAACUUCAGGGAUCGAGACCCCCCCGGCUCCGUAAGAAAAGUUCCCCCGCAAACCACAGCGGGGCAGUGUUGCAUCAGCAGAGAGCAGGAUGGAGCCAGGAUGCGGUGAGAAGUGGAUCGGAGCGUUGGGAUGUGUAUUCAUGUUGAUUAAAAGGUGGCAGGGAGAAGUAUUUUCUGGGACUGAAAAUGCUUUGGGCACUGGACACUGCCCCCGGUGAUGGCAGUUUUCCCUGGUUCAUCUCCUGCGGUGGUGGUCCCAGUCGUUACCGUGAAAUAGGUUGUCAUGGCGGCGGCGUGUGAGGCCUCGCAGGGGGGCUGGCGAGUGCGAAUACGGACGGAAAGAUUAAUUAUGUCCUGGAGAAAAGGCACGGCGUCCCACACGGGCCCAUUCUGGCUCCGCUGGGGGACCCGGUCCAUCUGUCCGGUCCCACGGAGGGACCGCGGUGGCCAGACCUCGGUCCAAAUGCAUCUCGUUCAGCUGAUUUUUCUAUUAACAAGUUAAACCUCAGAGGCAUCCCUGCACAUCGUGCGACCGUAAUAACACCGGGGUAGGAGCCGAAAUGUGCGCGCACAAGGUCAUUUUAAUCCACUCAGCCGCAGCCACUGAAUCCACCUCUUUCACAAGGCUGAACUGACCAUUAAAUCAUCACAUUUAAAGGGCAAAAUCUAAAGAAAGUUAAAUGAUAUUCCUAUAUUCCUAUACUUACUUUAAUUACAUUCUUCAAAAAAGCUUUUAGUUUGCUUGAAACUGGAUAAGCCCACUUGCAAAAAAACAGUGUGGCAGUUUCUAGAUUAGGACAAUGGGCAGAUCAACACCUAAAAUACAAGAUUU